RNAcentral lists this ribosomal RNA (497 nucleotides) under uncultured Bacillota bacterium. Its description in RNAcentral is "bacterial SSU rRNA". It matches the Rfam family "Bacterial small subunit ribosomal RNA", at positions 196 to 709 of the family's 1533-position model. The record is from RNAcentral. Lineage: Bacteria; Bacillati; Bacillota.
GAUACAAAAAGGAGAAAUCCGCUGAUGGAUGGGCUCACGUCUGAUUAGCUAGUUGGUGAGGUAGCGGCUCACCAAGGCUGCGAUCAGUAGCCGGACUGAGAGGUUGAACGGCCACAUUGGGACUGAGAUACGGCCCAGACUCCUACGGGAGGCAGCAGUGGGGAAUAUUGGGCAAUGGGCGAAAGCCUGACCCAGCAACGCCGCGUGAAGGAAGAAGGCCUUCGGGUUGUAAACUUCUUUUAAGAGGGACGAAGAAGUGACGGUACCUCUUGAAUAAGCCACGGCUAACUACGUGCCAGCAGCCGCGGUAAUACGUAGGUGGCGAGCGUUAUCCGGAUUUACUGGGUGUAAAGGGCGCGUAGGCGGGAAUGCAAGUCAGAUGUGAAAUCCAAGGGCUCAACCCUUGAACUGCAUUUGAAACUGUAUUUCUUGAGUGUCGGAGAGGUUGACGGAAUUCCUAGUGUAGCGGUGAAAUGCGUAGAUAUUAGGAGGAACAC